CGUGCAGGCGGGAGAGUAAGUCAGAUGUGAAAUGCCAAGGCUUAACCAUGGAACUGCAUCUGAAACUAUUUUUCUUGAGUGCUGGAGAGGAAAGCGGAAUUCCUAGUGUAGCGGUGAAAUGCGUAGAUAUUAGGAGGAACACCAGUGGCGAAGGCGGCUUUCUGGACAGUAACUGACGCUGAGGCGCGAAAGCGUGGGGAGCAAACAG
Molecule: ribosomal RNA, 208 nt
Rfam family: Bacterial small subunit ribosomal RNA